AUCCCGGUAGCGCAAUAGAUAGCUCAUUCGACUUCUAAUCCAAAGGGCAUGGGUUUGAAUUCCAUCCGGGAUG
Molecule: non-coding RNA, 73 nt
Organism: Trichonephila inaurata madagascariensis
Lineage: Eukaryota; Metazoa; Arthropoda; Arachnida; Araneae; Nephilidae
Source: the annotation of a GenBank genome assembly